AGGCGUGGGCCGGCGGCUUUACACAUGCAAGUCGAGCGGUAGCACAGGGGAGCUUGCUCCCCGGGUGACGAGCGGCGGACGGGUGAGUAAUGUCUGGGAAACUGCCUGAUGGAGGGGGAUAACUACUGGAAACGGUAGCUAAUACCGCAUAACGUCGCAAGACCAAAGAGGGGGACCUUCGGGCCUCUUGCCAUCAGAUGUGCCCAGAUGGGAUUAGCUAGUAGGUGGGGUAAUGGCUCACCUAGGCGACGAUCCCUAGCUGGUCUGAGAGGAUGACCAGCCACACUGGAACUGAGACACGGUCCAGACUCCUACGGGAGGCAGCAGUGGGGAAUAUUGCACAAUGGGCGCAAGCCUGAUGCAGCCAUGCCGCGUGUGUGAAGAAGGCCUUCGGGUUGUAAAGCACUUUCAGCGAGGAGGAAGGUGGUGAGCUUAAUACGCUCAUCAAUUGACGUUACUCGCAGAAGAAGCACCGGCUAACUCCGUGCCAGCAGCCGCGGUAAUACGGAGGGUGCAAGCGUUAAUCGGAAUUACUGGGCGUAAAGCGCACGCAGGCGGUUUGUUAAGUCAGAUGUGAAAUCCCCGGGCUCAACCUGGGAACUGCAUUUGAAACUGGCAAGCUAGAGUCUCGUAGAGGGGGGUAGAAUUCCAGGUGUAGCGGUGAAAAUGCGUACAGAUCUGGAGGAAUACCGGUGGCGAAGGCGGCCCCCCUGGACGAAGACUGACGCUCACGUGCGAAAGCGUGGGGAGCAAACAAGAUUAAAUACCCCUGGUUAGUCCCACGUUGUAAACAAUGUCGAUUU
Molecule: ribosomal RNA, 803 nt
Filed under: Serratia nematodiphila
Lineage: Bacteria; Pseudomonadati; Pseudomonadota; Gammaproteobacteria; Enterobacterales; Yersiniaceae
Description: bacterial SSU rRNA
Rfam family: Bacterial small subunit ribosomal RNA
Source: RNAcentral